GGCUUGGUGUAAUGGUUAGCACUCUGGAUUCUGAAUCCAGUGAUCCGGCAUCAAAUAUUGGUGGGACCU
Ataeniobius toweri is the source of this 69-nucleotide non-coding RNA. The record is from the annotation of a GenBank genome assembly. NCBI's taxonomy places the organism in Eukaryota, Metazoa, Chordata, Actinopteri, Cyprinodontiformes, Goodeidae.